CCGCCCGUCACAUCACGAAAGUCAGUUGCCCUUGAAGUCGCUGCGCUAACCGCAAGGAGGGCAGGCGCCUACGGAGUGGCUGGUGAUUGGGGUG
Molecule: ribosomal RNA, 94 nt
Filed under: uncultured bacterium
Lineage: Bacteria
Description: partial 16S ribosomal RNA
Source: RNAcentral